Molecule: ribosomal RNA, 1074 nt
Filed under: Triticum aestivum (bread wheat)
Lineage: Eukaryota; Viridiplantae; Streptophyta; Magnoliopsida; Poales; Poaceae
Description: partial small subunit ribosomal RNA
Source: RNAcentral
AUGGCCCCCGCCGCCGCAUCGCAGCACCAGGCGACCACCGUGGCGCCGACGAGCGGCCGUAAGGUGGUGGACGAGGUGUCCGGCUGGCUGCGCGUGAUGGACGACGGCAGCAUCGACCGCACCUGGACGGGCCCGCCGCAGGCACUGCCGCUCAUGCAGCCGGUGCAGCCCUACGCCGUGCCCCGCGACGGCCACACGCUCCACGACCUUCCCGGGGAGCCCAACCUCCGGGUGUACCUCCCCGAGGUCGACGCGGGCAGCGUCGGCCGCCUCCCCGUCAUCGUGCAGCUCCACGGCGGUGGCUUCUGCAUCUCCCACCCGUCCUGGGUCCUGUACCACCACUUCUACGCGCGCCUAGCCUGCGCCGUGCCCGCCGUGGUCGUCACCGCCGAGCUCCCGUUAGCCCCGGAGCAACGCCUUCCUGCCCAGAUAUACACUGGCGUCGACGUGCUCCGCCGGCUGCGGUCCAUCGCCAUGUCCGACGAAGGCUCUCUCGACGACCCCGCGGCCGAGCUCCUCCGCGAGGCCGCGGACAUAUCCCGCGUGUUCCUCGUCGGGGACAGCUCCGGUGGCAACCUCGUCCACCUCGUGGCCGCGCGCGUCGGCGAGGACGGCGCGGACGCCUGGGCGCCCCUCCGCGUCGCUGGCGGCAUCCCGAUCCACCCGGGGUUCGUGCGCGCCACGCGGAGCAAGUCGGAGCUGCAGCCAACGCCGGACUCGGUGUUCUUCACGCUGGACAUGCUGGACAAGUUCCUGGCCAUGGCGCUGCCGAAGGGCGCCACCAAGGACCACCCGUACACGUGCCCGAUGGGCCCGAACGUGCCGCCGCUGGAGUCCGUCCCUCUGCCGCCGAUGCUGGUGGCGGUCGCGGAGAAGGACCUCAUCCGCGACACCAACCUCGAGUACUGCGACGCGCUGCGUGCUGCCGGCAAGGAGGUGGAGGUGCUCAUCAACCGCGGCAUGAGCCAUUCCUUCUACCUCAACAAGUUCGCCGUCGACAUGGACCCUACCACCGGGGAGCGAGCCCAGGAGCUCAUCGACGCCAUCAAGAGCUUCGUCGCCCGCCACUUAUAA